CAGUGGUGACAAGAAGUACAUUCGGAAUUACAUGCCAGUCUUCAUGACUGUGUUAUUCUGAGCGAAAGUCCCUGGGUCAUUGAACUGAAAGAGUUGCAGCGUAAGUGCUGCCGUGCGGUUUUAGAAUUAUGUUCACAGAUGUGUUAUGUCAUGAAACACAAGUGUGGAGCUAUCAUGUCUGGUACCGUUUUCACCGAAAGCAAAGUGACGUACAAUUUAACAGCAUAGGGCUCACUCUGUCGACCACU
RNAcentral lists this RNase MRP RNA (248 nucleotides) under Strongyloides venezuelensis. RNAcentral's name for it is "RNase MRP". It matches the Rfam family "RNase MRP". Rfam says of the family: RNase MRP is an enzymatically active ribonucleoprotein with two distinct roles in eukaryotes. In mitochondria it plays a direct role in the initiation of mitochondrial DNA replication. In the nucleus it is involved in precursor rRNA processing, where it cleaves the internal transcribed spacer 1 between 18S and 5.8S rRNAs. The record is from Rfam by way of RNAcentral. Lineage: Eukaryota; Metazoa; Nematoda; Chromadorea; Rhabditida; Strongyloididae.